GAGACACGGACCAGACUCCUACGGGAGGCAGCAGUGAGGAAUAUUGGUCAAUGGGCGGGAGCCUGAACCAGCCAAGUCGCGUGAGGGACGACGGCCCUACGGGUUGUAAACCUCUUUUGCCGGGGGACAAACGGCGGCACGCGUGCCGUCCUGAGGGUACCCGGAGAAAAAGCAUCGGCUAACUCCGUGCCAGCAGCCGCGGUAAUACGGAGGAUGCGAGCGUUAUCCGGAUUUAUUGGGUUUAAAGGGUGCGUAGGCGGGAUGCCAAGUCAGCGGUCAAAUACGGGGGCUCAACCUGCGUCCGCCGUUGAAACUGGCGUUCUUGAGUGGGCGAGAAGUACGCGGAAUGCGUGGUGUAGCGGUGAAAUGCAUAGAUAUCACGCAGAACCCCGAUUGCGAAGGCAGCGUACCGGCGCCCAACUGACGCUGAAGCACGAAAGCGUGGGUAUCGAACAGGAUUAGAUACCCUGGUAGUCCACGCAGUAAACGAUGAACACUAAUUGUCCGGCGGGGUUUGCCGCUGG
This 524-nucleotide ribosomal RNA is filed under the name uncultured bacterium. RNAcentral describes it as "bacterial SSU rRNA". It matches the Rfam family "Bacterial small subunit ribosomal RNA", at positions 321 to 842 of the family's 1533-position model. The record is from RNAcentral.